This 254-nucleotide ribosomal RNA is filed under the name uncultured bacterium. RNAcentral's name for it is "partial 16S ribosomal RNA". It matches the Rfam family "Bacterial small subunit ribosomal RNA", at positions 524 to 776 of the family's 1533-position model. The record is from RNAcentral.
UACGGGGGGAGCAAGCGUUGUUCGGAUUUACUGGGCGUAAAGGGCGCGUAGGCGGCCACCGCAAGUCAGUUGUGAAAGCUCUGGGCUUAACCCAGAAAGGUCAGCUGAUACUGUGCGACUAGAGUGCAGAAGGGGCAACUGGAAUUCUCGGUGUAGCGGUGAAAUGCGUAGAUAUCGAGAGGAACACCUGCGGCGAAGGCGGGUUGCUGGGCUGACACUGACGCUGAUGCGCGAAAGCCAGGGGAGCGAACGGG